CUGACACACACACACACAAACAACGCAGCAAAAAAUUAUAAUGGAAUUGCUGUGCAGCGACCAAUCUAUCACUUCUCCUGUUCAAAAGGUUUAUCCAUUCAAUUCACCACCAGCCAUUGCCCGCAGUUUAUAUGAGCAGGUGGACUCAACUGACUGGUAAAAGUGGCAGAAUCAACUCUCCAUCAUAAUCCAGCCAAACCAAUUCCCAGAGAU
This is a long non-coding RNA of Folsomia candida, 213 nucleotides long. RefSeq lists it as uncharacterized. The record is from RefSeq and is a predicted model, not a curated record. Lineage: Eukaryota; Metazoa; Arthropoda; Collembola; Entomobryomorpha; Isotomidae. The transcript has 3 exons.